UUCCUGGCAAAGAUUCCAUGAUGAAGAUGCCAAAAGCAAUUGCAACAAAACCAAAAAUUGACAAAUGGGACCUAAUUAAAGUAAAGAGCUUCUGCACGGCAAAAGAAACUAUCAACAGAGUAAACAGACAACCUACAGAAUGGGAGAAAUAUUUGCAAACUAUGCAUCCGACAAAGGUCUAAUAUCCAGAAUCUUUAAGAAACUUAAAACUUUCAUAUGCACAGGAAAGGAAAAAAAUUGUAUUGACUCGCUUUAUUGUGAUAGUCACUUUAUUGUGGUGGUCUGGAACCUGCAAUAUCUCCAAAGUAUGCCUGUACAAGUUUUUGUAGGGCGAUAUUUUUCCAUGUUUCUUUGGUAUAUAUCUCAAGGUGGAAUUGUUGGGUUAUCUAAGUAAUCAUAAGUAGGUUUAUAAUAUAUAUUCUAGAGAUUGUAGGCUAUUCUACCAAGAAACAGAGCUGAGGGCUUAAAGACCUGAGUUUGUCACUUUCCCACCUCUGUAAAUUCUCCAGCGCCAUCAGAAGCAGCCAGCUGCAUUCUUAAGGCUUUGCCUUCCGGGCCACUCUGCUGCAAGCAACCACAGGUAAUUACGGAUUCAUCACAGGCACUGGAAGACUGAAAGAACAAAAAGCAGAUGCUAAGAUAACCCUGAAAUUAUUCACACCAGGAAGAAACUACCAUCCCAGGCUGAGAGAACAAAAGGGAAGGAAUAUUGCUAUCAGGACCUUGGUGUUGUAGGGAUUCCACUUAAACCGCUGAGGGAAAUCUCUACACAGCUAGUACUGCAGCCUCUGAGAAUAGGGUGCCAUGUUCUGGAGAUCAGACCUUCAGGGGGACAUUUUGUACUGCUAGUGCCUAGACGCUAAGUAGGGUGUUGAUAGUGGUGGACCCUCAUAUUUAAAGGAGGGUCUUCAGUCUAGCUGGUACCUGUACCUCUAAAAAGGAAGUCUGGCCAUACCCUGGAUGUCUGAGCUGGCAGCACAACCCAGUGGAUAUUCCAGUCACUCAUGGGGCAGGGAUUGUGCCCCACAGACGCUCGAAUGGUCCAGAAGCACUGGCUCAGGGUGAGAAAAAAAGCAUAGCCCACCUGGCUGUACAACUGCAAAGGGGAUAUGGUCCAGCUCCUGUGGACAUCACUGAACAGGCACAGCAUGGCAGGUGCUGGGAGCAGUCACACAGUGGGCAGCUAGAACCUUCUCCCUGCUGCUAUGAGAGCAACACUGAUUGGAACUGGACACUGUGGGGAGAAAAAAGCCUUUUUUGUCCACUUCCUACCUAGCCAAUCUCCCCUGAAUGCUUCCUAUUGACAGAACCUAAAAGGAAGUCAGUUGGUGAGGGGACUAAGAAGUGGAGUUUGGAGAUCUUCAGCUCCAAAUGGAGCUGAGAGACCAGAGGGCAGAAGAUGAAGAGCCAGAAAACCUGGAUCCUGGCCCCAACCCAGCACUGACUGGGCUUACUUUGAUGGUCUGGAUAUACAGGCAUGUCAUCUGAAAUGAAGACAUUGUUGUCUCUUCUGCCUACAGAACCACAGGGUCAGCUGUGCCCCUUCCCCUUUCAGUAUAUUCCCAUAUUACAAUUUCUCCUGGAUAAAACCAGAGAAUGAGUCUCUAAACAAAGUAGGCAGAGAGCUGAAAAGAAGAGGCUUCAAGGAAGGAGAUUCCCAGCAUAGGCAAUUGGUUACAGAGUGAAGGAAAGUAGAGAAUAGGCAGAAAAAAAGGAUUCCAGGAUGGCUGAAACAACAUCUUUAAAGACUGAAAAAGAAAAAAAAAACUAUCACCAUCAAUUUCUAUAUCUAGCUCAACUAUCCUUCCAGAAUGAAAGCAAAAUAAGGACACUUUCAGACAAAAAAAAGAGAAAGAAGAUUUGUUUUCAGCAGACCUAGACUACAAUAAAUGCUAAAUAGAGAAAGUUCUUCAGGAUAAAGGCAAAUUAUAACAGAUGGAAAUCUGGAUCUUCAGAAAACAAAGAAGAGCACAGGAAAUGGUUACUGAUGUUACCAAACACAAAGUCCACUCCUGAAGCCCACUGGGAUGUAAAAUCCAUGACUACAGAGAUUUUGUGGGUCUUGUUCAUCAUUGCAUAUCAUCGGCAUCUAACACAGUGCUUGGCUUCUCAGAAGAAAAAUAGAAUUACCAUUCAACCUAGUGAUCCCAUUUAUAGGUAAGUACCCAAAGGAAAAUAAAUUGCUCUACCAAAAAGUUACCUGCUCUCAUAUGUGUAUUGCAGCACUAUUCACAAUAGCAAAAUUAUGGGAUCAACCUAGGUGCUCAUCAACAGUGGAUUGGAUAAAUAAAAUGUGGUACAUAUACACCAUGGAGUACUAUGCAGCCAGAAGUAAGAAUGGAAUCAUGUUUUCUGUAGCAACUGGAGCUGGAAGCCAUCCUCCUAAGUCAAUUAAUGCAGAAACAGAAAAAUCAAAUACUGUGGGUUCUCACUUAUAAGUGGGAGCAAAACAAUGGAGACACAUGGACAUAAAGGUGAAAACAAUAGACGCUGGGGCCUCCAAAAGAGAGAAAGGAGAGAGGAGAGGAAAGGUUGAAAUAUGACCUGUGGGGUACCAUGUUCACUAUUCAGGUGAUGGGUUCGAUAGAAGCCCAAACUCCAGCAUCUUGAAAUAUAUCCAUGUAACAAACCUGCAAUGUACUCCUGAAACUAAAAUUAAAAAAAAAAGAAAUAAAAUAAAAUAAAAACAGUGCUUGGUCCUUAAGAGGUAUUCACUAAUUCAUUGUCCAAUGAA
This 2734-nucleotide long non-coding RNA is filed under the name Homo sapiens (human). RNAcentral's name for it is "HSALNT0357110". The record is from RNAcentral. Lineage: Eukaryota; Metazoa; Chordata; Mammalia; Primates; Hominidae.